GUAGGGAAUUGUUCGCAAUGGGCGCAAGCCUGACGACGCAACGCCGCGUGGAGGAUGAAGACCUUCGGGUCGUAAACUCCUUUCGACCGAGAUGAAUACUCGCUGACCUAAUACGUCGGCGAGCUGACAGUAUCGAGGGAAGAAGCCCCGGCUAACUCCGUGCCAGCAGCCGCGGUAAUACGGGGGGGGCAAGCGUUGUUCGGAAUUACUGGGCGUAAAGGGUUCGUAGGUGGCCUGCUAAGUCAGACGUGAAAUCCCUCAGCUUAACUGGGGAACUGCGUCUGAGACUGGCGGGCUUGAGUGCAGGAGAGGAACGCGGAAUUCCAGGUGUAGCGGUGAAAUGCGUAGAUAUCUGGAGGAACACCGGUGGCGAAGGCGGCGUUCUGGACUGCUACUGACACUGAGGAACGAAAGCCAGGGGAGCAAACGGGAUUAGAUACCCCUGUAGUCC
This 451-nucleotide ribosomal RNA is filed under the name uncultured bacterium. RNAcentral's name for it is "bacterial SSU rRNA". It matches the Rfam family "Bacterial small subunit ribosomal RNA", at positions 354 to 796 of the family's 1533-position model. The record is from RNAcentral.